Long non-coding RNA from Ctenopharyngodon idella (grass carp), 1479 nucleotides. RefSeq lists it as uncharacterized. The transcript is spliced from 3 exons. Lineage: Eukaryota; Metazoa; Chordata; Actinopteri; Cypriniformes; Xenocyprididae. The record is from RefSeq and is a predicted model, not a curated record.
CAGCACACAGAUGUAAAUCCUACAGAUCUUUUAACUAUAAACCUGAUGAUGGUGAUGAUCUCAACAGAAGAAGCUCCUCCUAUAAAGUUUUGUAGGUCGACUACAUCACAGAGACGCAAAAACAAGAAGAGACUCAAAACUCCUCAGUUUAUUUUAUGACUUUGGUGAUUUCAUUUGGAAAGCACAACAGACAUAAUGACAUACUGGAAAAGGGUGGUUCUCAUUCUCUUCACAUAUUUGUGGGGCUGUGAUUCUCUGGAGAGUGUUGAACAGAAAACAAGAGUUCAGAUUGCUUUUGAAGGUGAAUCAGUAACAAUCAACUGUACAUAUUCAACCACUGAUUCAUUUCCCGGAUCUGGUGAGAUUGAUGAACAGUUUAAAGUGAGAUUUGAUGCUAAUCUCAACACCUCUUCAAGAUCAGUUCCUCUGAUGAUCCAGGAUGUGUGUGUGUCUGACUCUGCUGUGUACUACUGUGCUCUGAGGACCACUGUGACUCAAACACACUCAACACUCACACAAAAACACUGCAAAUACAUGAGCCCUAAAUUAAAUAAUUACUGACUUGUCUUUGGAUUACAUGAAAGUCUAUCAUUUCACACUAUUCCACUUCAUAUUAUAAUCAAUUACCCAAUUUUUAAAUUUGACAUUAACUUUAGCCUAUAAUAAAUUAUAUUUAGACAGGCAUUUCAUGUCAAAACAAUCCUCAGUGAUCAAUAUGCUGUUAAAACACAUACAUUGAAUGUGAAAGGAGAUGCUAUUUUGUCAUUUUUGUUUUCAACAAGGGGGACGCAAUCCCCCUGCAUUCACCCUCAAAUCGAGCCCUGAUUACAGUAGAUCAAAUCUCUCUGUUUUAUUUGUGUUCAAAGACAGUCAUGGUAUCUGCAUACUAACAUGUUUGAUUAUAAUGCAAUAAUAAUAAUAAUAAUAAACAAUAAAAAACUGAACUCAUUAUUAAAGAUGUCACUCUCACAUCCAGCACUUUACUAUUGUGCUAUAUAUUCUCAAAUAUUCAAAUAAUAAUCAUAGAUCAAUUAGACAAAAACAUUAGUGAUUGUAACUGGAUCUUUCUUCUCCUCUCCAGGUGUGAAAUGUAAAACUUGGCCAUGAUGUUUCUCAGAGAGGAGGGACUACACAGAUCUGACACAAUCUGAUCACUUCAGUUAGAAACAAUUCAGUCUGAAUCAUCUUAAAGUGAACACAGCGCACUGCACAAUGGAGAUUUAUUCAGUUAUUCUCUUCUACAGUCUGGCAUCUGCUGUCUCUGCUGUCUGUCUGUCAGCUACUGUCUGUUAAACUCACUAAAUGGGAACAAACUCAUGUGGAUCUGGAGAUCUCCUCUGCUGCAGUAUCAGACUCUGCUCUGUAUUACUGUGCUCUGAGGCCCACAGUCACAGGAAACACAUCAGAUCUAUACAAAAACCUGUGACACAGUGAGAGAGAGCAAGAAGAGCUGAUACAGAGAGUCAAACAGUCUUAAAC